UACGAACCGCCCGAACGUUGUUCGGAAUCACUGGGCUUAAAGGGCGCGUAGGCGGGCUGCCAAGUCCGGGGUGAAAUCCUCCAGCUUAACUGGAGAACUGCCUCGGAUACUGGAAGUCUCGAGGAGGGUAGGGGCAAGUGGAACCGUGGGUGGAGCGGUGAAAUGCGUUGAUAUCCAUGGGAACUCCGGUGGCGAAGGCGGCGCACUGGACCACUUCUGACGCUGAGGCGCGAAAGCUAGGGGAGCAAACAGG
RNAcentral lists this ribosomal RNA (253 nucleotides) under uncultured bacterium. RNAcentral's name for it is "partial 16S ribosomal RNA". It matches the Rfam family "Bacterial small subunit ribosomal RNA", at positions 524 to 776 of the family's 1533-position model. The record is from RNAcentral.